GACGAACGCUGGCGGCGUGCCUAACACAUGCAAGUGGAGCGACGGACCAGGCUUCGGCCUGGGGCCAAGCCGCGAACGGGUGAGUAACACGUGGGCAACCUGCCCCGACGACCGGGACAACCCGAGGAAACUCGGGCUAAUACCGAAUGUGCUCGCCUCGCGCAAGCGAGGCGCGUAAAGGAGCUUCGGCCUCCGCAUCGGGAUGGGCCCGCGGCCCAUUAGCUUGUCGGUGAGGUAACGGCNCACCGAGGCUGCGAUGGGUAGCUGGUCUGAGAGGACGAUCAGCCACACUGGGACUGAGACACGGCCCAGACUCCUACGGGAGGCAGCAGUGGGGAAUCUUGCGCAAUGCGCGAAGGCGUGACGCAGCAACGCCGCGUGGGGGAAGACGGCU
RNAcentral lists this ribosomal RNA (394 nucleotides) under uncultured bacterium. RNAcentral describes it as "bacterial SSU rRNA". It matches the Rfam family "Bacterial small subunit ribosomal RNA", at positions 28 to 416 of the family's 1533-position model. The record is from RNAcentral.